Molecule: long non-coding RNA, 837 nt
Organism: Mya arenaria
Lineage: Eukaryota; Metazoa; Mollusca; Bivalvia; Myida; Myidae
Exons: 3
Source: RefSeq, a predicted model, not a curated record
CAGCACUCACAGUCAGCCGCUUUAUCAUCCAUUGCUCCAUUAACCUCAUCCACCUGGUCAACACAAUUCAAACAUACCAGAUACAGACUCAGUUAAAACAGAUAUGGGUGCAAGUCAUGACACUUUUACAGAUUAAAGAUGUCCGAGAUUCACGAUGAAUGCUGUUUGAAGAAGAAUGAACAGAAUCACAUUUUAAUUUAAUCUCACUGCCAAUGUGGACUUAAAGAGGACGGACUCUGUUAUGACAACUGUAUUUUUAAGUAACAGAGAUAAGGGUGUUAUUGGAAUCAUUUCAAUAAAAUAUGGGAGUACCGGUACAUACCAGUUUGAUAUCUUGAUUAGACUGGGACUUAAACAAAAACGAUAGAUAUUGGACCUCUCUAAUACACAUUAUAAACAUCUCAUGUCUUAAGUCAAUAACAAAGCUGUAAUAAGGCGAUAUUUAGUGUAAUUAACACUUAGGGCUAUUCUCCUAAAACAUAUAACCACCGGGUUUGGCAGAUUUUUAAUAAUAUAUGGUUGGUCUUUUUUGCUAAUUUGCACCCCAAAAGGCACAUUUGCUUUUGUAUGGGGUUGGCAUAAAAACUUAAUAAAUGCCUUCCCUCCAGUGGUUAUAUUUUUAAAUGGACAAAAUAUCAAACUGGUAUGUACCUUAUCAACAUUUUUAGCUGGACUAUUUGAAUAAUAAGGAGGGUUAUACCACUCGCCUCAGCAUCUGCUUUGGCUUUAGCGUCCGGUUAAAGUUUAAGACCAAGUUGGGAUUUUCACUCAUAGGGAUUUUCACUCAUAACUGCAAAACCCUUCAUUAAAGUCACUUAAUACUCCAUACAGUUGUUC